UUGACCUCGGAUCAGGUAGGACUACCCGCUGAACUUAAGCAUAUCAAUAAGCGGAGGAAAAGAAACCAACAGGGAUUGCCCCAGUAACGGCGAGUGAAGCGGCAACAGCUCAGAUUUGGAAUCUGGCCCCCAGGGCCCGAGUUGUAAUCUGGAGAGGAUGCUUCUGGCGCGGCGCCUUCCGAGUUCCCUGGAACGGGACGCCGGAGAGGGUGAGAGCCCCGUACGGUUGGACGCCUAGCCUUUGUGAAGCUCCUUCGACGAGUCGAGUAGUUUGGGAAUGCUGCUCAAAAUGGGAGGUAAAUUUCUUCUAAAGCUAAAUACCGGCCAGAGACCGAUAGCGCACAAGUAGAGUGAUCGAAAGAUGAAAAGCACUUUGAAAAGAGGGUCAAACAGUACGUGAAAUUGUUGAAAGGGAAGCGCCCGUGGCCAGACUUGUGCCCCGCGGACCACCCGGCGCCCUCAGCGCCGGUGCACUCCGCGGGGCGCAGGCCAGCAUCGGUUUUCCUAGGGGGAUAAAGGCGGCGGGAACGUGGCUCCUUCGGGAGUGUUAUAGCCNGUCGUGCCAUGCCCCUGGGGGGACCGAGGACCGCG
RNAcentral lists this ribosomal RNA (591 nucleotides) under Leptographium procerum. RNAcentral's name for it is "eukaryotic LSU rRNA". It matches the Rfam family "Eukaryotic large subunit ribosomal RNA", at positions 1 to 597 of the family's 3401-position model. The record is from RNAcentral. Lineage: Eukaryota; Fungi; Ascomycota; Sordariomycetes; Ophiostomatales; Ophiostomataceae.